Molecule: ribosomal RNA, 275 nt
Filed under: uncultured bacterium
Lineage: Bacteria
Description: partial 16S ribosomal RNA
Rfam family: Bacterial small subunit ribosomal RNA
Source: RNAcentral
UACGUAGAGAGCAAGCGUUGUCCGGAAUCAUUGGGCGGUAAAGGGUACGGCAGGCGGUCUAUUAAGUCAGAGGUGAAAUCCAACAGCUCAACUGUUGAACUGCCUUUGAUACUGGUAGACUUGAGGAUAAGAGAAGAAAACGGAAUUCCUAGUGUAGCGGUGAAAUGCGUAGAUAUUAGGAAGAAUACCGAUGGCGAAAGCAGUUUUCUAACUUAUUCCUGACGCUCAGGUACGAAAGCUAGGGUAGCAAACGGGGAUUAGAUACCCCCUGUAGU